UCUACUGCGCUUGCGCAGUCGUCCCCUGUAAUAUGCGCGUCUCCGGUUACUUCUUUGCUGGCGUCUUAGUCCAUUUGUUUGGCUCUUUGUGCUGCGCAAUGUCGUCGUGUUGGUGGCGGUCUUCAGUAACCGGGACCUUGGAGGCUGGGAGGGAUAGCUGAUGUGCAGGGCCAGCACUGGGGGCGAGCUCAGGGCGGGCAGGGAUGUGCUCGAGGAGUGAGGCCCGCAACCCUGCAGAGGGCGCCCGGUCCUGUUGACUCACUCCUUGCUGGGGUGAGACAGUUGUUAGGGUUAAGUUUGCAUUUCAGAACGUUCUGGUAAGGGCUUUGUAGCAGGGUGAGAGUGAAGACCUGUGCAAGAGAAGAAGCCAUAAGGGUUCAAGAUGCCAGGCGAAGCCACUUACCAACCUUUGCUCGUCCCACGCCUGGGAGAACUCGAGUGGUUUCCUCUAACUGCACAGGACCACUGUGAGCCAUUUCUACUCUGUCCAGUUCAACAGCUGUCUCACCUGGAAAGCCACUUUUCCUGUUCACCUGCCUCUGGAGGCCCACCUUUCCCAAGCCCUACAUCACAGCCUCUGAGAUUUGGUUAUUCCUUCCGGGAAACUCGCCUCUCUGACCUCUCUCCUCAGCUAGAGACCACCUGCCUCCUUUCUCCACAAGGAUGUUUCAAAGGCUGCUAAAACUUGACAUUUCCUAAAAUAAAUACUUGGUUUCUGCUUUAAACCAGUCC
Molecule: long non-coding RNA, 732 nt
Organism: Saimiri boliviensis boliviensis (Bolivian squirrel monkey)
Lineage: Eukaryota; Metazoa; Chordata; Mammalia; Primates; Cebidae
Source: RefSeq, a predicted model, not a curated record